GCGGAUGUAGUUCAAUGGUAGAACAUCAGCUUCCCAAGCUGGCGAUGCGGGUUCGAUUCCCGUCAUCCGCUCCA
This 74-nucleotide transfer RNA is filed under the name Acidimicrobiaceae bacterium. RNAcentral describes it as "tRNA-Gly". It matches the Rfam family "tRNA". Rfam says of the family: Transfer RNA (tRNA) molecules are approximately 80 nucleotides in length. Their secondary structure includes four short double-helical elements and three loops (D, anti-codon, and T loops). Further hydrogen bonds mediate the characteristic L-shaped molecular structure. tRNAs have two regions of fundamental functional importance: the anti-codon, which is responsible for specific mRNA codon recognition, and the 3' end, to which the tRNAs corresponding amino acid is attached (by aminoacyl-tRNA synthetases). tRNAs cope with the degeneracy of the genetic code in two manners: having more than one tRNA (with a specific anti-codon) for a particular amino acid; and 'wobble' base-pairing, i.e. permitting non-standard base-pairing at the 3rd anti-codon position. Lineage: Bacteria; Bacillati; Actinomycetota; Acidimicrobiia; Acidimicrobiales; Acidimicrobiaceae. The record is from RNAcentral.